This is a long non-coding RNA of Macadamia integrifolia, 204 nucleotides long. RefSeq lists it as uncharacterized. Lineage: Eukaryota; Viridiplantae; Streptophyta; Magnoliopsida; Proteales; Proteaceae. The record is from RefSeq and is a predicted model, not a curated record. The transcript is spliced from 2 exons.
CUUGGAAUGAAUGUGUUUGAGAUGUGAGGAUAAGUGAGACUUUGGGAAUGGAAAGAGCAGAAUAAGAGAAGAAUGGGGUUAGUGGUUAAUGCUAGUGUGGUUUAUAAAGGAAGAAUCUUGAAGAAAGAGACGAGAAGGACUCGAAUAUCUUGGAACUACUCUGUUGAAUAAAUGAUAAGUCCAGAUCUGCUAACUAUUCUCUUA